ACCAACGAACUGGGGCUUGGCCCACGAAACUAAUUAAGUUAAUAAGACAAAUAUUAUAACAAAGUAACAAACAAACAAAAAGGGAAAAAGAAAGAAAGAGAAAGAGGCGGUGAGAGAGGGAACAAAAGAGGCGGUCUAUGAAGGUUUAUAAAAGAAGAAGAAAAACCAGCUUUGCUGGUUUCAUCGUGAAGUUGGCAGCAACUCUCCAAGAAAAAGAAAAAGAAAAAGAAGAGAGAGAAUAUUAAGGAAAGAAUAGCAAGAACCAGAAACCUAGAAGCAAAAUCUAAGGCUAACGCUCCCGGCAAACACCUAAAUUCCUUACUCUGUUAUUGCUCCUUCAUUCAGAUAAUAUAGCUGAAGCUGACAUUUCGACUCAGGUAUAGUGAUUGACAGAGCUGACCAUGGAUCCCGUAAGCCUCGCACUUGCUUCGCGUGGGUUGUCAUUUUGCUUAGACCUUUUGGCAUGUUGUUGGUUUAAAUCCUAGAGUUCUGCUCCUUAAGUCGGUCUUGGACUUAUAUUUUGGCUUGCGUAGUAAUAGAGUAGCUUGAGACGUGUAAAGUUGAUGUUGAAUCAUGUGGCUUUGUGUUGUUGAUAUUUAUUUUAGACUUUGUACUUUA
Molecule: long non-coding RNA, 618 nt
Organism: Nicotiana tabacum (common tobacco)
Lineage: Eukaryota; Viridiplantae; Streptophyta; Magnoliopsida; Solanales; Solanaceae
Source: RefSeq, a predicted model, not a curated record